AGUGUGUGUCCAUAAUUAAUUUUUUUUCCCAUUUUAUGUGCAGACAUAUUGCAGGCCAGAUUGACCCAAGACCCUGGACAGAGAAGACCGGCAGAAGUUUUGAUCACUUCCCUCAACAAACUUCUGGGAACUACUGUGGCAUCCUUAUACUCAUUUAUGCCCUCUGUAUCUGCACCAAUACCCCAUUUAUCUUCACAGAGGUCAGUUGCAUCUAUUAAUAUAGAAAAAAUAUUUCAAACCCCACCCCAAUUGUCUGAUCAUUGUUAUAUAUGUUUUAGAAUGAUGUGCCAUUAAUCCGCCAGUGGUGGUGCAUCCUACUGAUGGAAAGAUUUCAGAUUGAAGGACAUGGCCAGAGGUUUGCUUUCUGGACUGACAAGGCUAGCAGGCUAUUGCAAGGGACCCUUCAGCCACUUUUUAGGGUAUCUAGGUCAAUCACUUCAGACAUUCCACCUCAUGUGCAAACCAUGGUCAACCGCACAGCCCAAGAAAAGAAGCUGGUAGACUUUGCUGUACAAGA
This is a long non-coding RNA of Astyanax mexicanus (Mexican tetra), 517 nucleotides long. RefSeq lists it as uncharacterized. The transcript is spliced from 4 exons. Lineage: Eukaryota; Metazoa; Chordata; Actinopteri; Characiformes; Acestrorhamphidae. The record is from RefSeq and is a predicted model, not a curated record.